GUCCUUUUGAUAAUAAUAUAAGGUCUAACCUGCCCACUGAAAUUUUUAAAGGGCCGCAGUAUUUUAACUGUGCAAAGGUAGCAUAAUAAUUAGUUUCUUAAUUAGAAGCUGGUAUGAAUGGUUGAACGAGAAAUUUACUGUCUCAAUUUAUAAAUUAAAAUUUUAUUUUUAAGUUAAAAAGCUUAAAUUAAUUUAAAAGACGAGAAGACCCUAUAGAGUUUUAUAAUUAUUAAUAUUUUAUAUUUAGAAUUUUUAUUUUUAUUAAUAAUUAUUUUAUUGGGGUGAUAUAUAAAUUUAAUAAACUUUAUAUUUUUAAAAACAUAAAUUAAUGAUAAAUUGAUCCAUAUAAAUGAUUAAAAGAAAAAAUUACCUUAGGGAUAACAGCGUAAUUUUUUUUUAGAGUUCUAAUCGAAAAAAAAGAUUGCGACCUCGAUGUUGGAUUAAAAUUAAUUUUUGGUGUAGAAGCUAAAAUAUUAGGUCUGUUCGACCUUUAAAAUUUUACAUGAUCUGAGUUUAAACCGGCGUGAGCCAGGUUGGUUUCUAUCUUUAAAUAAAUUAAAUAUUUUAGUACGAAAGGACCAAAUAUUUUUAAAAUUUAAUUUUUUUUGAAUA
This 612-nucleotide ribosomal RNA is filed under the name Hydraena schubertorum. RNAcentral describes it as "partial 16S ribosomal RNA". It matches the Rfam family "Bacterial large subunit ribosomal RNA", at positions 1819 to 2725 of the family's 2925-position model. Lineage: Eukaryota; Metazoa; Arthropoda; Insecta; Coleoptera; Hydraenidae. The record is from RNAcentral.